UACGGAGGGUGCAAGCGUUGUCCGGAAUCACUGGGCGUAAAGGGCGCGUAGGCGGCUCAUGAAGGCUGUGGUGAAAGUCCGGGGCUCAACCUCGGAUCGGCCGUGGCGACUCGUGGGCUGGAGCACUGUAGAGGCGGGUGGAAUUCCGGGUGUAGCGGUGGAAUGCGUAGAGAUCCGGAAGAACACCGGUGGCGAAGGCGGCCUGCUGGGCAGCGGCUGACGCUGAGGCGCGACAGCGUGGGGAGCAAACAGG
RNAcentral lists this ribosomal RNA (253 nucleotides) under uncultured bacterium. RNAcentral describes it as "partial 16S ribosomal RNA". It matches the Rfam family "Bacterial small subunit ribosomal RNA", at positions 524 to 776 of the family's 1533-position model. The record is from RNAcentral.